RNAcentral lists this small nuclear RNA (107 nucleotides) under Neotoma lepida (desert woodrat). The record is from RNAcentral. Lineage: Eukaryota; Metazoa; Chordata; Mammalia; Rodentia; Cricetidae.
GUGCUUGCUUUGACAGCACAUAUACUAAAAUUGGAACAAUACGGAGAAGAAUGACAUGGCCCCUGGGUAAGAAUGACAUUCAAAUUUGUGAAGUGGGCUUCUGGAAU